CCUGCCCAGUGAUAUAAUAAUUUAACGGCUGCGGUAUUUGUGACCGUGCAAAGGUAGCAUAAUCAUUAGUCUUUUAAUUGAAGGCUUGUAUGAAAGGUUAGACAAGAGAAAUACUGUCUUUUAAAAUAAAAAUUGAAUUUAACUUUUAAGUGAAAAGGCUUAAAUAAUUCAGAGGGACGAUAAGACCCUAUAAAGUUUUAUAAAAGGUAAAUUUUUACUAAUGGUUUAAAAGGAUAAAAUUUAUAUGUUUAUUAAGUUGGGGAAACUAAGGUAUAAAUUAUAUUUAUUAAUUGCUUAUAAUUAUAAUACAAAAUAUAUUUGUUUAAAAUUAAAUGGUCCUUUAAUUAAUUUAAAGAUUAGAAGAUUAAAUUACUUUAGGGAUAACAGCGUUAUUUUUUUUGAGAGUUCUUAUCGAAAAAAGAGUUUGCGACCUCGAUGUUGAAUUAAAAUUUUCUGUAUGGUGCAGUUUGUCAUAUAAAGAAGGUCUGUUCGACCUUUAAUGUUUUA
This 507-nucleotide ribosomal RNA is filed under the name Kingsleya attenboroughi. Its description in RNAcentral is "partial large subunit ribosomal RNA". It matches the Rfam family "Bacterial large subunit ribosomal RNA", at positions 1858 to 2598 of the family's 2925-position model. Lineage: Eukaryota; Metazoa; Arthropoda; Malacostraca; Decapoda; Pseudothelphusidae. The record is from RNAcentral.